AUUGAACGCUGGCGGAAUGCUUUACACAUGCAAGUCGAACGGUAGAGGGGGCAACCCCUUGAGAGUGGCGAACGGGUGAGUAAUAUAUCGGAACGUGCCCAGUCGUGGGGAUAACGUAGCGAAAGUUACGCUAAUACCGCAUACGAUCUAAGGAUGAAAGCGGGGGAUCGCAAGACCUCGCGCGAUUGGAGCGGCUGAUAUCAGAUUAGGUUGUUGGUGAGGUAAAAGCUCACCAAGCCGACGAUCUGUAGCUGGUUUGAGAGAACGACCAGCCACACUGGGACUGAGACACGGCCCAGACUCCUACGGGAGGCAGCAGUGGGGGAAUUUUUGGGACAAUGGGCGAAAGCCUGAUCCAGCAAUGCCGCGUGCAGGAAGAAGG
Molecule: ribosomal RNA, 382 nt
Filed under: uncultured bacterium
Lineage: Bacteria
Description: bacterial SSU rRNA
Rfam family: Bacterial small subunit ribosomal RNA
Source: RNAcentral